GCACAAUUCCAUAUGAGUCUUUGUCUUUGUGUCUUCUAACAAGGAUACAAUUCUUACUCCUUUAAGAUCCGGUUGCGGUUUAAGUUCUUUUACUCAAUCAUACACAUGACAUCAAGUCAUAUUCGACUCCAAAACACUAACAAACCUUCUUUUUGCUUCUCAAAGCUUUCAUGGUGUAGCCAAAGCCCAUAUGAGUCUUUGGCUUUGUGUCUUCUAACAAGGAAACAUUAUUUAGGCUUUUAAGAUCGGGUUACGGUUUAAGUUGUUAUACUCAAUCAUACACAUGACAACAAGUCAUAUUCGACUCCAAAACACUAACCAACCUUCUUCUUGCUUCUCAAAGCUUUCAUGGUGUAGCCAAAGUCCAUAUGAGUCUUUGGCUUUGUGUCUUCUAACAAGGCAACACUACUGAGGCUUAUAAGAUCGGGUUGCGGUUUAAGUUCUUAUACUCAAUUAUACACAUCACAUCAAGUCAUAUUCGACUCCAAAACAAUAACA
RNAcentral lists this small RNA (498 nucleotides) under Arabidopsis thaliana (thale cress). RNAcentral describes it as "ATSL089000". Lineage: Eukaryota; Viridiplantae; Streptophyta; Magnoliopsida; Brassicales; Brassicaceae. The record is from RNAcentral.